This is a long non-coding RNA of Octodon degus (degu), 309 nucleotides long. RefSeq lists it as uncharacterized. The transcript is spliced from 4 exons. The record is from RefSeq and is a predicted model, not a curated record. NCBI's taxonomy places the organism in Eukaryota, Metazoa, Chordata, Mammalia, Rodentia, Octodontidae.
UAGUUGUGCUUUUUUAAAAAGCUGAAGUCCUGAGCGAAGAGCCCAUCCUGAAGUGGUACAAGGAUGCACACAUGGCCAAGGGGAAGAGCGUCUUCCUGGAGCAGAUGAAGAAGUUCGUGGAGUGGCUCAAGAACGCGGAGGAAGAGUCCGAGUCUGACGCUGAAGACGGGGACUGAGUUUCGAGCCUGCAUCCUCAGUAAAGCGAGCAUGGUGUAGCUAACUGUGUCUCAUGUGUCCUGGUUCGUACAUCUUCCUACCUCCCCAUAUCGAGCAUGAUAGAGAAGGGCUUUCAUGGCAGAUUUCAUUUUU